Molecule: ribosomal RNA, 2858 nt
Filed under: Paenibacillus bouchesdurhonensis
Lineage: Bacteria; Bacillati; Bacillota; Bacilli; Caryophanales; Paenibacillaceae
Description: bacterial LSU rRNA
Rfam family: Bacterial large subunit ribosomal RNA (bases 1175-2857)
Source: RNAcentral
UUAUAUAAUAGGAGGAACAAAUGUCAUUUCGUCGCUUUAUUCAGGAUCUGAUUCAAUAUCGGGUGAUGAUAUUCGUUGCACUUGGACUUUUUAUCGCAGGAAUUAUUAUGGGAGUAGUCCUUACGGAUGAACUCAGUGCGCUAAUAGCCCCGCAAAUAGAAGCGCUGCAAGAGGUGAGCGGGAAAUUGUCGAACUCAUCUUCACCGGAGCUGAGCUUCUUUAUAUUUAUCUUUUUAAAUAAUGCCGUGAAAAGUUUAUUCAUUAUGGGGUUAGGCGCGCUGUUCGGCUUUAUGCCGAUUGUGUUCUUGGUCAUGAAUGGGAUGGUAUUGGGAUUUUUGGUUCAUGCGGCCUCGGCUCAAGGGGCUAACAUGUUCGAUUUGAUCGUGAAAGGAUUGCUGCCGCACGGGAUUAUAGAAAUUCCAGCGAUUGUGGUUGCCGCUGCUUACGGGCUGCAGUUUGGUUAUUUGGUGAUGAAAAGCUUGGGAGAGCUUGGCGCCAGGGAUCGUCAUGAGCGCAGCGUGAAGUGGGGAAUGUUUUUUCGGACGGCGGGAACAGCAGCCAUCUGGAUUACGGUGGCCUUAUUGGUCGCGGCUAUGAUCGAAAGUACGAUUACAUUUCAUUUGGUUAAAACAUAAAAAUUAUAUAAGCAUUCAUAUUUUUCCUAAAAAUUGUGCAUACCAUUAAAGCGGUUCAAAAGACCGAGUUUCUUAUUUUGUAAAAAAGGUUAAUCAUCGUUAACCAACAGAGAUGAGUUUCAAGAUUUUGAAUUUUAAGGGAAAUAUUGAAAUUCAUCUUGGUCAAAUAGGGGCUGGGAGCAUAGUGCCAUCAAAUCCUGCACCAAUCGUAACUUAGUUGAAAGAGGAGCUGUGAGCCAUGUUGGGUAUGUUAUUUAAUGAAAAAGAAUGCAAGGAACUUGAUUAUGUACUUCGUAAGGAACUAGAUGAGAUGCUGCUGGAUAUGAGCGACAAUCGUCUUGAUCAGGAUAUCAGACAUGCGAUUGCGAAUCGAUACAAGACUGUAUUUCGAAUGUAUGCUCGGUUUGCCCCCUCGAAAGAACUCUCCAAAUAUGCACGAAGAGCAAGUUUCCCACAAGCAAGACAAUAAGAUUACAAAGGGUAUUGACUUAAGAGUGGCAAUUGUGAUAAAUUAUCAAUCGUGCCUCUUUUGAGGGACGGGAUAGGGUCGUAAGAGUUUUAUAAAGGAAUUAAAAAAGUUUCAAAAAAACUCUUGCGAAAACCUAGCUGAGUAUGUUAUAUUAUAAAAGUCGCCGCUGAAACAUGGCGACGCGCGAGAAGUGAAGUUGAUCUUUGAAAACUGAACAACGAGUGAGCGGGUUUCACGGAAGUGAAAUCUAAAAAUAGAGUCAGAUGCAAAUCUGAUCUCGUCAGAUUCAAAAUGAGCAAGUCAAACACUUAGCUGAAAGAGAAAUUGCCUUCGGGUAAAACUUCCUUUCACCUUUAAUGGAGAGUUUGAUCCUGGCUCAGGACGAACGCUGGCGGCGUGCCUAAUACAUGCAAGUCGAGCGAAGUUAUUUUGGAAGCUUGCUUCCGAAAUAACUUAGCGGCGGACGGGUGAGUAAUACGUAGGCAACCNCAGGUAGGCGAGAAGAGAAUUCUAAGGCGCGCGGAAGAACUCUCGUUAAGGAACUCGGCAAAAUGACCCCGUAACUUUGGGAGAAGGGGUGCCCCGGUAGUGUGAAUAGCACGAGGGGGCCGCAGUGAAAAGGCCCAAGCGACUGUUUAGCAAAAACACAGGUCUGUGCGAAGCCGUAAGGCGAAGUAUACGGGCUGACGCCUGCCCGGUGCUGGAAGGUUAAGGGGAGCGGUUAGGGAGUAAUCCCGAAGCUGUGAACCGAAGCCCCAGUAAACGGCGGCCGUAACUAUAACGGUCCUAAGGUAGCGAAAUUCCUUGUCAGGUAAAUUCUGACCCGCACGAAUGGCGUAACGACUUGGGCGCUGUCUCAACGAGAGAUCCGGUGAAAUUUUAAUACCUGUGAAGAUGCAGGUUACCCGCGACAAGACGGAAAGACCCCAUGGAGCUUUACUACAGCUUGAUAUUGAACUUUGAUGCGAUUUGUACAGGAUAGGUGGGAGCCUAGGAAUCCGGAGCGCCAGCUUCGGUGGAGGCAUCGUUGGGAUACCACCCUGAUCGUAUCGAAGUUCUAACCUAGGACCGUGACCCGGUUCGGGGACAGUGUCAGGCGGGUAGUUUGACUGGGGCGGUCGCCUCCUAAAGAGUAACGGAGGCGCCCCAAGGUUCCCUCAGAAUGGUUGGAAAUCAUUCGUAGAGUGCAAAGGCAAAAGGGAGCUUGACUGCGAGACUGACAAGUCGAGCAGGGACGAAAGUCGGGCUUAGUGAUCCGGUGGUACCGCAUGGAAGGGCCAUCGCUCAACGGAUAAAAGCUACCCUGGGGAUAACAGGCUUAUCUCCCCCAAGAGUCCACAUCGACGGGGAGGUUUGGCACCUCGAUGUCGGCUCAUCGCAUCCUGGGGCUGAAGUAGGUCCCAAGGGUUGGGCUGUUCGCCCAUUAAAGCGGUACGCGAGCUGGGUUCAGAACGUCGUGAGACAGUUCGGUCCCUAUCUGUCGUGGGCGUAGGAAAUUUGAGAGGAGCUGUCCUUAGUACGAGAGGACCGGGAUGGACGCACCGCUGGUGCACCAGUUGUUCCGCCAGGAGCAUAGCUGGGUAGCUACGUGCGGAUGGGAUAAACGCUGAAAGCAUCUAAGCGUGAAGCCCUCCUCAAGAUGAGAUUUCCCAAUUUAGUAAGACCCCUUGAAGACGACGAGGUUGAUAGGCCUGAGGUGGAAGUGCAGCAAUGUAUGGAGCUGACAGGUACUAAUCGGUCGAGGGCUUAUCCAA